RNAcentral lists this transfer RNA (86 nucleotides) under Tissierellia bacterium KA00581. It matches the Rfam family "tRNA". From Rfam's summary of the family: Transfer RNA (tRNA) molecules are approximately 80 nucleotides in length. Their secondary structure includes four short double-helical elements and three loops (D, anti-codon, and T loops). The record is from Rfam by way of RNAcentral. Lineage: Bacteria; Bacillati; Bacillota; Tissierellia.
GGAGAGGUAUCGAAGUGGUCAUAACGAGGCGGUCUUGAAAACCGUUUGGGUUUUCGCCCACGUGGGUUCGAAUCCCACCCUCUCCG